UACGUAGAUGGCAAGCGUUGUCCGGAUUUAUUGGGCGUAAAGCGCGCGCAGGCGGUUCUUUAAGUCUGAUGUGAAAGCCCCCGGCUCAACCGUGGAGGGUCAUUGGAAACUGGAAAACUUGAGUGCAGAAGAGGAAAGUGGAAUUCCAUGUGUAGCGGUGAAAUGCGUAGAUAUAUGGAGGAACACCAGUGGCGAAGGCGACUUUCUGGUCUGUAACUGACGCUGAGGUGCGAAAGCGUGGGGAGCAAACAGG
This 253-nucleotide ribosomal RNA is filed under the name uncultured bacterium. RNAcentral's name for it is "partial 16S ribosomal RNA". It matches the Rfam family "Bacterial small subunit ribosomal RNA", at positions 524 to 776 of the family's 1533-position model. The record is from RNAcentral.